AAUUGUCCAUAUUCCAUAUGCCAAUGAGAAAUGAGUUGCCCCGGUAGAGUUUUUUUCUCUCUUGUUUUUUUCUUUUGUUUUUUUUGUUUGGUUUUUUUAUUUUUUGUUCUUUUUUUGCCUCCACUGAACUGUUCAUUUUGGGGGCAACAUGGUGUUAAUCCUGAACAGACUACAAACUUCUGAUGUCGUGCUGUUGCUCAAAUUCAAUAUAUGGCCUAAUAUGAGCCUUUUGCCAUUCCAUACUGACAUAUGAUUUAUUUUUCAGGAAUUUGCUGACCGUCGAAUUAGCAUAUGAAGCAGCUUCUGCCCACUUAGUGAUAGUCGAUGACCAUAAAGAUGAAUUGAUGAUCGCCAGAAGCUUUUGGCGAGGUC
RNAcentral lists this long non-coding RNA (372 nucleotides) under Gossypium raimondii (Peruvian cotton). RNAcentral describes it as "long non-coding RNA (GRAI_LNC011201)". The record is from RNAcentral. Lineage: Eukaryota; Viridiplantae; Streptophyta; Magnoliopsida; Malvales; Malvaceae.